RNAcentral lists this ribosomal RNA (263 nucleotides) under uncultured bacterium. RNAcentral's name for it is "partial 16S ribosomal RNA". It matches the Rfam family "Bacterial small subunit ribosomal RNA", at positions 793 to 1055 of the family's 1533-position model. The record is from RNAcentral.
GUCCACGCCGUAAACGAUGGGCACUAGGUGUAGCGGGUAUUGACCCCUGCUGUGCCGAAGCUAACGCAUUAAGUGCCCCGCCUGGGGAGUACGGCCGCAAGGCUAAAACUCAAAGGAAUUGACGGGGCCCGCACAAGCGGUGGAGCAUGUGGUUUAAUUCGACGCAACGCGAAGAACCUUACCUGGGCUUGACAUCCCUUGACAGUCUAUGAAAGUAGAUCUUCCUUUCGGGGACAAGGAGACAGGUGCUGCAUGGCUGUCGU